This 27-nucleotide non-coding RNA is filed under the name Drosophila melanogaster (fruit fly). Lineage: Eukaryota; Metazoa; Arthropoda; Insecta; Diptera; Drosophilidae. The record is from RNAcentral.
AUUGCUUCUAUUCCCUUGUCAUUGGCC